Molecule: microRNA, 23 nt
Filed under: Danio rerio (zebrafish)
Lineage: Eukaryota; Metazoa; Chordata; Actinopteri; Cypriniformes; Danionidae
Description: Dre-Mir-425_3p* (star (passenger))
Source: RNAcentral
CACCGGGAACUUCGUGUCAGCCA